RNAcentral lists this ribosomal RNA (608 nucleotides) under uncultured bacterium. RNAcentral describes it as "bacterial SSU rRNA". It matches the Rfam family "Bacterial small subunit ribosomal RNA", at positions 98 to 697 of the family's 1533-position model. The record is from RNAcentral.
GCGCACGGUGUGCGUAACUACGUAUGUAACCUACCCUUGUCAAGGGGAUAGCCUCUCGAAAGAGAGAUUAAUGACCGCAUAACAUCAUUUAACAGCAUUGUUAGAAUGAUCAAAUAUUCUAUAGGACAGGGAUGGGCAUGCGGAACAUUAGCUAGUUGGUAAGGUAACGGCUUACCAAGGCUACGAUGUUUAGGGGAUCUUGAGAGGAUGACCCCCAACUGGUACUGAGACACGGACCAGACUCAUACGGGAGGCAGCAGUAAGGAAUAUUGGUCAAUGGGCGGAAGCCUGAACCAGCCAUGCCGCGUGCAGGAAGACGGCCCUACGGGUUGUAAACUGCUUUUGCAGGGGAAUAAACCUCAUUACGUGUAAUGAGCUGAAUGUACUCUGAGAAUAAGGAUCGGCUAACUCCGUGCCAGCAGCCGCGGUAAUACGGAGGAUCCAAGCGUUAUCCGGAUUUAUUGGGUUUAAAGGGUGCGUAAAGUGGCUUUCUAAGGUCAGGGGUGAAAGACGGUUAGCUUAAACUAUCGCAGUGCCUUUGAUACUCGAAGAGCUUGAAUUGAACUGGAGGUAAAGCGGGAAUGUGACAAGGUAAGCCGGUUGGAAAU